Molecule: ribosomal RNA, 875 nt
Filed under: uncultured Candidatus Nitrosopumilus sp.
Lineage: Archaea; Thermoproteati; Nitrososphaerota; Nitrososphaeria; Nitrosopumilales; Nitrosopumilaceae
Description: bacterial SSU rRNA
Rfam family: Archaeal small subunit ribosomal RNA
Source: RNAcentral
CCUGACUGCUAUCGGAUUGAUACUAAGCCAUGCGAGUCAUUGUAGCAAUACAAGGCAGACGGCUCAGUAACACGUAGUCAAUCUACCCUAUGGACGGGGAUAACCUCGGGAAACUGAGGAUAACACCCGAUAGAUCAUUAAUCCUGGAACGGUUUAUGGUCCAAACGAUUCGUCGCCGUAGGAUGGGACUGCGGCCUAUCAGCUUGUUGGUGAGGUAAUGGCCCACCAAGACUAUUACAGGUACGGGCUCUGAGAGGAGUAGCCCGGAGAUGGGUACUGAGACACGGACCCAGGCCCUAUGGGGCGCAGCAGGCGAGAAAACUUUGCAAUGUGCGAAAGCACGACAAGGUUAAUCCGAGUGAUUUCUGCUAAAGGAAUCUUUUGUCAGUCCUAGAAACACUGUUGAAUAAGGGGUGGGCAAGUUCUGGUGUCAGCCGCCGCGGUAAAACCAGCACCUCAAGUGGUCAGGAUGAUUAUUGGGCCUAAAGCAUCCGUAGCCUGUUUUGUCAGUUUUCGGUUAAAUCCAUACGCUCAACGUAUGGGCUGCCGGAAAUACUGCAAAACUAGGGAGUGGGAGAGGUAGACGGUACUCGGGAGGAAGGGGUAAAAUCCUUUGAUCUCUCGAUGACCACCUGUGGCGAAGGCGGUCUACCAGAACACGUCCGACGGUGAGGGAUGAAAGCUGGGGGAGCAAACCGGAUUAGAUACCCGGGUAGUCCCAGCUGUAAACUAUGCAAACUCAGUGAUGCAUUGGCUUGAUGCCAAUGCAGUGUUGCAGGGAAGCCGUUAAGUUUGCCGCCUGGGAAGUACGUACGCAAGUAUGAAACUUAAAGGAAUUGGCGGGGGAGCACCACAAGGGGUGAAGCCUGCGGUUC